CUUGCAACUUAUUAAUUGGUAAUAGACAGUUACAUAUUACAUUAUAAGUUGAAAAAAAUCUCUUGCAACUUUAUUUACCUUGAGUAAUAGAAUAUACACGUUGUCGCUGAUGGCGGAGGAAGAGACCGAUAUUAUUAUAACAUCGACGUCACCGUCAUGUUUGGAGCAAGGGAAAUUUCGUCGGUGGAAGUGUAAAUGUAUACGAGAUUAUCGACCCUAGCGAGCCAAGGGAGGUCAAGUUUGUUGGCAAAGAUAUUUCAGUCGCAUCGACUCAAAUCGAAAAGAAAAAAAAUUUGGCUGAGUUGAGAAUUCUGGAGCAGAUAAAACACCCGCGAAUUGUAGCCUUCUAUGGUUUCAAACAAAACCCGAACCUUCUAACCAUAUUUUACAAAUACAUGAAACUUG
Molecule: long non-coding RNA, 405 nt
Organism: Physella acuta
Lineage: Eukaryota; Metazoa; Mollusca; Gastropoda; Physidae
Source: RefSeq, a predicted model, not a curated record